UGGGGAAUUUUGGACAAUGGGCGAAAGCCUGAUCCAGCAAUGCCGCGUGUGUGAAGAAGGCCUUCGGGUUGUAAAGCACUUUUGUCCGGAAAGAAAUCCUUGGCUCUAAUACAGUCGGGGGAUGACGGUACCGGAAGAAUAAGCACCGGCUAACUACGUGCCAGCAGCCGCGGUAAUACGUAGGGUGCAAGCGUUAAUCGGAAUUACUGGGCGUAAAGCGUGCGCAGGCGGUUUGCUAAGACCGAUGUGAAAUCCCCGGGCUCAACCUGGGAACUGCAUUGGUGACUGGCAGGCUAGAGUAUGGCAGAGGGGGGUAGAAUUCCACGUGUAGCAGUGAAAAUGCGUAGAGAUGUGGAGGAAUACCGAUGGCGAAGGCAGCCCCCUGGCCAAGUACUGACGCUCAUGCACGAAAAGCGUGGGGAGCAAACAGGAUUAGAUACCCUGGUAGUCCACGCCCUAAAACGAUGUCAACUAGUUGUUGGGGAUUCAUUUCCUUAGUAACGUAGCUAACGCGUGAAGUUGACCGCCUGGGGAGUACGGUCGCAAGAUUAAAAACUUAAAGGAAUUGACGGGGUCAUAGCUGUUUCCU
Molecule: ribosomal RNA, 589 nt
Filed under: uncultured bacterium
Lineage: Bacteria
Description: partial 16S ribosomal RNA
Rfam family: Bacterial small subunit ribosomal RNA
Source: RNAcentral